This 482-nucleotide ribosomal RNA is filed under the name uncultured bacterium. Its description in RNAcentral is "partial 16S ribosomal RNA". It matches the Rfam family "Bacterial small subunit ribosomal RNA", at positions 28 to 523 of the family's 1533-position model. The record is from RNAcentral.
GACGAACGCUGGCGGCGUGCUUAACACAUGCAAGUCGAACGAUGAAGCCCAGCUUGCUGGGUGGAUUAGUGGCGAACGGGUGAGUAACACGUGGGCAACCUGCCCCAAACUCUGGGAUAACUCCUCGAAAGAGGUGCUAAUACCGGAUACGAACUAGACAGACAGCUGUACUAGUUGGAAAGUUUUUCGGUUUGGGAUGGGCCCGCGGCCUAUCAGCUUGUUGGUGAGGUAACGGCUCACCAAGGCUACGACGGGUAACCGGCCUGAGAGGGCGACCGGUCACACUGGGACUGAGACACGGCCCAGACUCCUACGGGAGGCAGCAGUGGGGAAUAUUGCGCAAUGGGCGAAAGCCUGACGCAGCGACGCCGCGUGAGGGAUGAAGGUCUUCGGAUCGUAAACCUCUUUCAGUAGGGACGAAGCGAAAGUGACGGUACCUAAAGAAGAAGCACCGGCUAACUACGUGCCAGCAGCCGCCGCCG